This 784-nucleotide ribosomal RNA is filed under the name uncultured bacterium. Its description in RNAcentral is "bacterial SSU rRNA". It matches the Rfam family "Bacterial small subunit ribosomal RNA", at positions 668 to 1451 of the family's 1533-position model. The record is from RNAcentral.
UCCAUGUGUAGCGGUGAAAUGCGUAGAUAUAUGGAGGAACACCGGUGGCGAAAGCGGCUCUCUGGUCUGUAACUGACGCUGAGGCUCGAAAGCGUGGGGAGCGAACAGGAUUAGAUACCCUGGUAGUNCACGCCGUAAACGAUGAGUGCUAGGUGUUAGGCCCUUUCCGGGGCUUAGUGCCGCAGCUAACGCAUUAAGCACUCCGCCUGGGGAGUACGACCGCAAGGUUGAAACUCAAAGGAAUUGACGGGGGCCCGCACAAGCGGUGGAGCAUGUGGUUUAAUUCGAAGCAACGCGAAGAACCUUACCAGGUCUUGACAUCCCGAUGCCCGCUCUAGAGAUAGAGUUUUACUUCGGUACAUCGGUGACAGGUGGUGCAUGGUUGUCGUCAGCUCGUGUCGUGAGAUGUUGGGUUAAGUCCCGCAACGAGCGCAACCCUUAUUGUUAGUUGCCAUCAUUCAGUUGGGCACUCUAGCGAGACUGCCGGUAAUAAACCGGAGGAAGGUGGGGAUGACGUCAAAUCAUCAUGCCCCUUAUGACCUGGGCUACACACGUGCUACAAUGGCUGGUACAACGAGUCGCAAGUCGGUGACGGCAAGCUAAUCUCUUAAAGCCAGUCUCAGUUCGGAUUGUAGGCUGCAACUCGCCUACAUGAAGUCGGAAUCGCUAGUAAUCGCGGAUCAGCACGCCGCGGUGAAUACGUUCCCGGGCCUUGUACACACCGCCCGUCACACCACGAGAGUUUGUAACACCCGAAGUCGGUGAGGUANCCUUUUAGGAGCCA